UACGAAGGGGGCUAGCGUUGUUCGGAUUUACUGGGCGUAAAGCGCGUGUAGGCGGAUUUGUAAGUUGGGGGUGAAAUCCCGAGGCUCAACCUCGGAACUGCCUCCAAAACUACAAGUCUGGACCUAAGUAGAGGCAAGUGGAAUUGCGAGUGUAGAGGUGAAAUUCGUAGAUAUUCGCAGGAACACCAGUGGCGAAGGCGACUUGCUGGACUUAUGGUGACGCUGAGACGCGAAAGCGUGGGGAGCAAACAGG
This 253-nucleotide ribosomal RNA is filed under the name uncultured bacterium. Its description in RNAcentral is "partial 16S ribosomal RNA". It matches the Rfam family "Bacterial small subunit ribosomal RNA", at positions 524 to 776 of the family's 1533-position model. The record is from RNAcentral. RNAcentral also lists the same sequence under 1 other name.